UACGUAGGGGGCAAGCGUUGUCCGGAUUUAUUGGGCGUAAAGAGCUCGUAGGUGGUUCGGUAAGUCGGAUGUGAAAUCUCCAGGCUCAACCUGGAGGGGUCAUUCGAUACUGCCGUGACUAGAGUUCGGUAGGGGAGUGUGGAAUUCCUGGUGGAGCGGUGAAAUGCGCAGAUAUCAGGAGGAACACCGGUGGCGAAGGCGGGUCUCUGGGCCGAUAUCGACGCUGAGGAGCGAAAGCGUGGGGAGCGAACAGG
RNAcentral lists this ribosomal RNA (254 nucleotides) under uncultured bacterium. RNAcentral describes it as "partial 16S ribosomal RNA". It matches the Rfam family "Bacterial small subunit ribosomal RNA", at positions 524 to 776 of the family's 1533-position model. The record is from RNAcentral.